Molecule: non-coding RNA, 919 nt
Organism: Macaca mulatta (Rhesus monkey)
Lineage: Eukaryota; Metazoa; Chordata; Mammalia; Primates; Cercopithecidae
Source: RefSeq, a predicted model, not a curated record
GAGAACUAACUGCAAAGUUCCCUCUCCCUGACUAAAUGCAAACAUCUUCUUUUGAAGUGUAGACAGGAGAAUGCACGGGCAACUCUCUUGCGAUGGUGAAGUAUUGAGCUCCAGUAAGCAGGUGGACACAGAGCCAAGAUGAAAGGCCACAGCACCUUCCCCGACCAGCAGGAAAUUGCCCCACCGCCACCUGAGAUGAUCAGUGCGGGGAAAGCCUGCCUGCGUUGGCCUCCCUCACAGCUGAGGAUGCAUCCACAGCACAUCAACUAGCUCCAACUCACUCUGCCCCCACCACCAACUACCCAGCCCAUGUUGAAGUCCUAGAAGCUUCCUGGCCAAGCUGCAUGAGCAUAACCAACACUGGGCACUUAAAUGUAACCAGGAGCAUAUUAACUGAGAUGACAACUCAGAGUUCAAUCAUUCAGCAAAAGCUUAGGAAGUACUGCAUUUUGAAUGAAAGUGUUUAUUGUUUAAAUGAAGGCACCAAAUAUAGUGGGUGACGACAAUACUUUGAAGAAAGAUAAUUAUAAAAAUGAAUUUAAACACACAUGCACCUAGCUACGGAAACAUAUCUUAGCAGGAGAAGCAAAGUCCACUGUUGACAUCAAACACCUCCUGACACAGGUGUCGGGAAUGCCUGGGGACCCAAUUAGGAGGCCAUCACUCUGUCUCCCAGCAGCCAGGGGACAAGAACAGCCUACAGGAGAGGAGACAGAGGGAUUAGCAAUAAAGCAAGGUAUGUCUUGGAAGGCAGCCACCCUUUCCACCCAGUGCUGAGAACUCUGUUGGCACCAAAAGGAAUUGUGAAGUUGGCAACCCCAUCAGAACACAGAGAGAGAACCUGUACAUCCUGGGAGGGAGAUAAUCCAAAGCAGUCUUUAAAAUAAAUACUUCCAUUGGGGAUUUUAAGUACUUUGUA